GUGCUCAAUUCAGUUGCACAUAUACUAAAAUUUGAAUGAUGCAAAGAAGAUUAGCAUGGCCUAUGCAUAAAGAUGACAUGCAAAUUUGUGAAAUGUUCCAUAGUUUU
This 107-nucleotide small nuclear RNA is filed under the name Neotoma lepida (desert woodrat). The record is from RNAcentral. Lineage: Eukaryota; Metazoa; Chordata; Mammalia; Rodentia; Cricetidae.